Molecule: ribosomal RNA, 251 nt
Filed under: uncultured bacterium
Lineage: Bacteria
Description: partial 16S ribosomal RNA
Rfam family: Bacterial small subunit ribosomal RNA
Source: RNAcentral
GACGUAGGGCGCGAGCGUUGUCCGGAUUUAUUGGGCGUAAAGAGCUCGUAGGUGUUUGUCACGUUGUUCGUGAAAACCCACAGCUCAACUGUGGGCGUGCGAGCGAUACGGGCAGGCUAGAGUACUGCAGGGGAGACUGGAAUUCCUGGUGUAGCGGUGGAAUGCGCAGAUAUCAGGAGGACACCGGUGGCGAAGGCGGGUCUCUGGGCAGUAACUGACGCUGAGGAGCGAAAGCGUGGGGAGCGAACAGG